This 225-nucleotide unclassified non-coding RNA is filed under the name uncultured fungus. Its description in RNAcentral is "sequence contains ITS1". The record is from RNAcentral. Lineage: Eukaryota; Fungi.
UUGUUUUAUUUAAUAUUUUACUCAGACAAUGUCACGAUUGAUUCAAGAGUUUAGACGAGGCCACCGGCGGGCGCGGGCCAGAGGACGUUUAACGGUCCCCCGGCGGUCCAUCGAGAUAGACGGGCCCGCCGAAGCAACGAACAAGUUUAGUAAACAUAGGGUGGGAGGUCGGGCCUAGAAGACCCUAACUCUUUAAUGAUCCUUCCGCAGGUUCACCUACGGAAA